AUUUCGAUAACAAACCUAUAUCUGUGAUACCAUUCAAUGAGAUUCGCAAUUCCACACAAAAAGUUUAUGUACAUACCUGAAUCAAAUAUAACCAAUAUUGACUUAUGCCCUUCUCAUAAAAACCGUCCAAUUUACCAAUGAAAUUACAUAUAAUAAUAAUAAUAAUAAAAUAUAUGUUAACAAGGUAUAAACGGGCAAUUGUAAAUAUUUUAAUUUAAACACCAAUUUUAAAUUUUAAAUCAAGUAGUUUAAUACGUCUAAACCAUUCGUUUUGAAAUAUUUUUAUACGAGGGUUCGCAGAAUUGAUU
Molecule: non-coding RNA, 308 nt
Organism: Cinara cedri
Lineage: Eukaryota; Metazoa; Arthropoda; Insecta; Hemiptera; Aphididae
Source: the annotation of a GenBank genome assembly